Molecule: ribosomal RNA, 486 nt
Filed under: uncultured bacterium
Lineage: Bacteria
Description: bacterial SSU rRNA
Rfam family: Bacterial small subunit ribosomal RNA
Source: RNAcentral
GACGAACGCUAGCUAUAGGCUUAACACAUGCAAGUCGAGGGGCAGCGCAGUGUAGCAAUACACGGGCGGCGACCGGCGCACGGGUGCGUAACGCGUAUCCAACCUUCCCGUUACUCUCGGAUAGCCUUCCGAAAGGGAGAUUAAUACGAGAUGGUGUUGAAAUUCCGCAUGUUAUUUGAAUUAAAGAUUUAUCGGUAACGGAUGGGGAUGCGUGACAUUAGAUAGUAGGCGGGGUAACGGCCCACCUAGUCUACGAUGUCUAGGGGUUCUGAGAGGAAGGUCCCCCACACUGGAACUGAGACACGGUCCAAACUCCUACGGGAGGCAGCAGUGAGGAAUAUUGGUCAAUGGACGGAAGUCUGAACCAGCCAUGCCGCGUGAAGGAUUAAGGCCCUAUGGGUCGUAAACUUCUUUUGUGGUGGAGCAAUAAGGUCUACGUGUAGAUUGAUGAGAGUACAUCACGAAUAAGCAUCGGCUAACUCCGUG